UAUGCAGGCGGAUCGUUAAGUCGGGGGUGAAAUCCCGAGGCUCAACCUCGGAACUGCCUUCGAUACUGGCGACCUUCGAGUCCGGGAGAGGUGAGUGGAACUCCGAGUGUAGAGGUGAAAUUCGUAGAUAUUCGGAAGAACACCAGUGGCGAAGGCGGCUCACUGGCCCGGUACUGACGCUGAGAUACGAAAGCGUGGGAGCAAACA
This 207-nucleotide ribosomal RNA is filed under the name uncultured bacterium. RNAcentral's name for it is "partial 16S ribosomal RNA". It matches the Rfam family "Bacterial small subunit ribosomal RNA", at positions 568 to 774 of the family's 1533-position model. The record is from RNAcentral.